GCGUGUGCACCACUGCCUCUCUCGUCUUCGCGCUCCGCCCGUAUUGCCGUCGCCUCCACUGGCCACCGCCGCCUCCUCGUUUGCACUGCCACCCUCCCACCGCACCUCCCCAUCCGCACCACUGCUUCAAAUCGUUUCCACCGCAGCGUUUUCCGCCGCCGCCGCUGCCGUGUUUCCCCAUUGAUCCGAAUCACAGCUGCAAAGAACAGAACAAGAUCGAGAUCGACGAUGGUGGAUCGAGGUCAAAAAUCAGAUCGCAAAUUCAAGCAGAAGUACUGCAACAAGACUGUCGCCAUCUCUUCCUCCCUUGCCCACUGAAUCCCAUGAUCCCAUCCCAGGUAUCUGGUAAUAAGUUACAUAAUCAAUAUAUCCCAUCCCCUCCUAUCUGUCUUCCCACGCUGUGGCCUACCACUGCAGAUCGGCUCAAAUAAAAGAGACGAUGCCAAAGAUGGAGUGAUGAAGAGCGAGGCACAAAUUUCUGUAUGGCUACAAUCAUGGGGGAAGAAUCAUGUUCUUUGAAUUGCAUCUGCUAUCAAUCAACAAGCUAGGGAGCUCAUAAUGUUCUGAUGAAGUUACUCGCAGAGGUGGAGCUUACCAACUUCAAAGAAAAGAAACAUGAACUAGAUUUUCUGAAACUAUUAUUCAGGGCAGAACCAUCACUUACAAGGAUGAGAAUAACCUGUCAUCAUUCGUUUGCUGUCUAGGAGAAACUACCUGAAGAUUUACAAAGUUUUGCUUUGCUUUUGCAAGCCAAGAAUAUUUUUGUUGAUGCGAAUUUCCUGAAAUGAAUGAGUUGUGGUUGAUGGCAGGCCUACAGAGAAGAGAAAACCUCCUUGGCUUGGGCUGAAGGAUUUUUGGUUGGCAAUAAUGCAUAAAUAGACAAACUACUGUAAUUGUGAUCACUCUAGAUUUUUUACUAUACUUCAUAACCAAAUUGUACAUUUUCAUUUUGGAAUGUUUAUUAUGUUAUCUUCUUGAG
Molecule: small RNA, 979 nt
Filed under: Oryza sativa Japonica Group (Japanese rice)
Lineage: Eukaryota; Viridiplantae; Streptophyta; Magnoliopsida; Poales; Poaceae
Description: sRNA Os02g0207300
Source: RNAcentral